Molecule: ribosomal RNA, 887 nt
Filed under: uncultured crenarchaeote
Lineage: Archaea; Thermoproteati; Thermoproteota
Description: bacterial SSU rRNA
Rfam family: Archaeal small subunit ribosomal RNA
Source: RNAcentral
AUGCGAGUUGUAUGGGAUACCUAAAAUUCCCAUGGCGAACUGCUUAGUAACACAUGAUCAACUUACCCUAUGGAGAAAAAUAACCUCGGGAAACUGAGGAUAAUGUUUCAUAGUUGAAUAGGCUUGGAAAAGUUUUUCAAUGAAUGGGAUAAGGAAAAUGGUUCUUAUCUGCCAUAGGAUAGGAUCGUGGUCGAUUAUGGUUGUUGGUGAGGUAACGGCUCACCAAGCCGAUAAUCGAUAGGGGCCGUGAGAGCGGGAGCCCCAAGAUGGGUACUGAGACAACGACCCGGGCCUUACGAGGCGCAGCAGGUGCGAGACCUCCGCAAUACACGAAAGUGUGACGGGGUUACCCAAAGUGUUCUCUUUUGAACUGUGGUAGGUGAGUAAUGUCCCCUACUAGAAAGGAGAGGGCAAGGCUGGUGCCAGCCGCCGCGGUAAAACCAGCUCUUCAAGUGGUCGGGAUAAUUAUUGGGCUUAAAGUGUCCGUAGCCGGUUUAGUAAGUUCCUGGUAAAAUCGGAUAGCUUAACUAUCCGCAUGCUAGGAAUACUGCUAUACUAGAGGGCGGGAGAGGUCUGAGGUACUAUAGGGGUAGGGGUGAAAUCUUAUAAUCCUUGUAGGACCACCAGUGGCGAAGGCGUCAGACUGGAACGCGCCUGACGGUGAGGGACGAAAGCCAGGGGAGCGAACCGGAUUAGAUACCCGGGUAGUCCUGGCCGUAAACGAUGCAUACUAGGUGAUGGUACGGCCGUGAGCCGUAUCAGUGCCGUAGGGAAACCGUUAAGUAUGCCGCCUGGGAAGUACGGUCGCAAGGCUAAAACUUAAAGGAAUUGGCGGGGGAGCACCACAAGGGGUGAAGCCUGCGGUUCAAUUGGAUUCAACGCCGGAA